This 69-nucleotide transfer RNA is filed under the name Chrotopterus auritus. Its description in RNAcentral is "tRNA-Gly". The record is from RNAcentral. Lineage: Eukaryota; Metazoa; Chordata; Mammalia; Chiroptera; Phyllostomidae.
ACUCUUUUAGUAUCAAUUAGUACGGCUGACUUCCAAUCAUCUAGUUCCGGCGCUCCCCGGAAAAGAGUA